GACGCCGCGUGGGAGGAUGAAGGCCUUCGGGUUGUAAACUUCUGUUAAGCGGGAAGAAAACCCCAUUUCUAAUACAAGUGGGGCAUGACGGUACCGCUAGAGAAAGCACCGGCUAAACUCGUGCCAGCAGCCGCGGUAAUACGAAGGGUGCAAGCGUUAUUCGGAAUUAUUGGGCGUAAAGGGUGUGCAGACGGUUUGUUAAGUCACUUGUUAAAUUCUCCGGCUUAACCGGAGGCCUGCAUGUGAAACUAGCAGACUAGAGGGUGAGAGAGAGAAGUGGAAUUCUCUGAGUAGCGGUAAAAUGCGUAGAUCUCGAGAGGAACACCAAUGGCGAAGGCAGCUUCUUGGCUCACUCCUGACGUUCAUACACGAAAGCGUGGGGAGCAAACAGGAUUAGAUACCCUGGUAGA
This 410-nucleotide ribosomal RNA is filed under the name uncultured bacterium. Its description in RNAcentral is "bacterial SSU rRNA". It matches the Rfam family "Bacterial small subunit ribosomal RNA", at positions 393 to 794 of the family's 1533-position model. The record is from RNAcentral.